This 914-nucleotide ribosomal RNA is filed under the name uncultured bacterium. RNAcentral's name for it is "bacterial SSU rRNA". It matches the Rfam family "Bacterial small subunit ribosomal RNA", at positions 28 to 916 of the family's 1533-position model. The record is from RNAcentral.
GGCUAACGCUGGCGGCGUGUCUUAGCCAUGCAAGUCGUGGGAGAAACUCCCCUUCGGGGGAGGAGUAAACCGGCGGACGGCGGAGUAACACGUGACUAACCUGUCCUCUGGUGGGGGAUAACGCGCCGAAAGGCGUGCUAAUACCUCAUACAGCCUCCUUGGGGCAUCCUGGGGAGGUGAAAGCUGGCCUCUGCUUAGCAAGCUGGCGCCGGAGGAGGGGGUCGCGGCCUAUCAGGUAGUUGGUGGGGUAAAGGCCCACCGAGCCUGUGACGGGUAGCCGGCGUGAGAGCGUGGCCGGCCCGAGGGGCACUGAGACACGGGCCCCACUCCUACGGGAGGCAGCAGGCUAGAAAUUUGGGCAAUGGGGGAAACCCUGACCCAGUGACGCCGCGUGCGGGAUGAAGCCCUUCGGGGUGUAAACCGCUGUCAGGGAGGGCGAUGGGAUCGUCUGUGAAGAGCAGUCGACCUUGACGGUACUCUCAGAGGAAGCCCAGGCUAACCUCGUGCCAGCAGCCGCGGUAAUACGGGGUGGGCAAGCGUUGCCCGGAAUCACUGGGCUUAAAGGGGAUGUAGGCGGCCCGGUAAGUCGGGCGUGUAAUCUGACGGCUCAACCGUCAGGCUGCGCUCGAAACUGUCGGGCUUGAGGACGGCAGAGGAGAGCGGAACUCCCGGUGUAGCGGUGAAAUGCGUAGAUAUCGGGGGGAACGCCAGUGGGGAAGCCGGCUCUCUGGGCCGCUCCUGACGCUGAGGUCCGAAAGUCAGGAUAGCGAAGGGGAUUAGAUACCCCCGUAGUCCUGGCCGUAAACGAUGGGUGCUAGGUGUGGGGAACUUUUGUUCUCCGUGCCGCAGGGAAACCGUUAAGCACCCCGCCUGGGGAGUACGCCCGCAAGGGUGAAACUCAAAGGAAUUGACGG